UUUGGACUUGAAAACAACCCCUUCAUCUUUCCUCCCAUUUGGCCUCCAUGAAGCAGAGGAGCCGAGAUUUUGAAAUGACCAAGUUCCUUUCCUUUUAAGCUGUCGUUCCACCUUUAUUGCCAUGUGCACCAUGUCUUCCAACUCCACAUAGUGUUGUAACUCUACCACGUUGGCAAUGUCCCGAUUCAACCCAUUCAGAAACCUUGCCAUAAUAGC
RNAcentral lists this long non-coding RNA (216 nucleotides) under Vitis vinifera (wine grape). RNAcentral's name for it is "long non-coding RNA (VVIN_LNC007182)". Lineage: Eukaryota; Viridiplantae; Streptophyta; Magnoliopsida; Vitales; Vitaceae. The record is from RNAcentral.